GAUGAAGAACGCAGCAAAUGCGAUAAGUAGUGUGAAUUGCAGAAUUCAGUGAAUCAUCGAAUCUUUGAACGCACAUUGCGGCCAUAGGUAUUCCUUUGGCCAUGCCUGUUCGAGCGUCAUUUACACCCUCAAGCCUAGCUUGGUGUUGGGCGCCUGUCCCGCCGUUUUCGCGCGCGGACUCGCCUCAAAGUCAUUGGCGGCGGUCGUGCCGGCCCCCUCGCGCAGCACAUUUGCGCUUCUCGGAGGCCCGGCGGAUCCGCGCUCCAGCAAGACCUUUCACGACUUGACCUCGGAUCAGGUAGGGAUACCCGCUGAACUUAAGCAUAUCAAUAAGCGGAGGA
Molecule: unclassified non-coding RNA, 341 nt
Filed under: soil metagenome
Description: partial contains 5.8S ribosomal RNA, internal transcribed spacer 2, and large subunit ribosomal RNA
Rfam family: 5.8S ribosomal RNA (bases 1-119)
Source: RNAcentral